UCUUUACAUGAUUAAAGCUCAGGGUGGAAGCCAAUGAAAUUCUGAGAGUCAGAAGUGUGCUAUGUUCAUGGCAGGACUUCUGUUCACACCAGUAGAGCUUGCCUCUCUGGCUGGAGUUUGAUAGUACUCUCUGCCACAUUA
This is a small nucleolar RNA of Molossus molossus (Pallas's mastiff bat), 141 nucleotides long. The record is from RefSeq and is a predicted model, not a curated record. Lineage: Eukaryota; Metazoa; Chordata; Mammalia; Chiroptera; Molossidae.